Molecule: ribosomal RNA, 2000 nt
Filed under: Vibrio harveyi 1DA3
Lineage: Bacteria; Pseudomonadati; Pseudomonadota; Gammaproteobacteria; Vibrionales; Vibrionaceae
Description: bacterial LSU rRNA
Rfam family: Bacterial large subunit ribosomal RNA
Source: RNAcentral
ACCCUUUGCAAACUCCGAAUACCAGUAAGUACUAUCCGGGAGACACACGGCGGGUGCUAACGUCCGUCGUGGAGAGGGAAACAACCCAGACCGCCAGCUAAGGUCCCAAAUUACUACUAAGUGGGAAACGAUGUGGGAAGGCUCAGACAGCCAGGAUGUUGGCUUAGAAGCAGCCAUCAUUUAAAGAAAGCGUAAUAGCUCACUGGUCGAGUCGGCCUGCGCGGAAGAUGUAACGGGGCUAAGUAGUAAACCGAAGCUGCGGCAAUGCACUUUAGUGCAUUGGGUAGGGGAGCGUUCUGUAAGCGGUUGAAGGUGUGUGGUAACGCAUGCUGGACGUAUCAGAAGUGCGAAUGCUGACAUGAGUAACGAUAAAGGGGGUGAAAAACCUCCUCGCCGGAAGACCAAGGGUUCCUGUCCAACGUUAAUCGGGGCAGGGUAAGUCGACCCCUAAGGCGAGGCCGAAAGGCGUAGUCGAUGGGAAACGGGUUAAUAUUCCCGUACUUCUUACAAUUGCGAUGGGGGGACGGAGAAGGCUAGGUGGGCCUGGCGACGGUUGUCCAGGUUCAAGUGCGUAGGCUGAAGAGUUAGGUAAAUCCGGCUCUUCUUAAGGCUGAGACACGACGUCGAGCUACUACGGUAGUGAAGUCAUUGAUGCCAUGCUUCCAGGAAAAGCCUCUAAGCUUCAGAUUGUAAGGAAUCGUACCCCAAACCGACACAGGUGGUCGGGUAGAGAAUACCAAGGCGCUUGAGAGAACUCGGGUGAAGGAACUAGGCAAAAUGGUACCGUAACUUCGGGAGAAGGUACGCUCUUGAUGGUGAAGUCCCUCGCGGAUGGAGCUGACGAGAGUCGCAGAUACCAGGUGGCUGCAACUGUUUAUUAAAAACACAGCACUGUGCAAAAUCGUAAGAUGACGUAUACGGUGUGACGCCUGCCCGGUGCCGGAAGGUUAAUUGAUGGGGUUAGACUUCGGUCGAAGCUCUUGAUCGAAGCCCCGGUAAACGGCGGCCGUAACUAUAACGGUCCUAAGGUAGCGAAAUUCCUUGUCGGGUAAGUUCCGACCUGCACGAAUGGCGUAAUGAUGGCCACGCUGUCUCCACCCGAGACUCAGUGAAAUUGAAAUCGCUGUGAAGAUGCAGUGUACCCGCGGCUAGACGGAAAGACCCCGUGAACCUUUACUACAGCUUGGCACUGAACAUUGACCCUACAUGUGUAGGAUAGGUGGGAGGCUUUGAAGCAAGUACGCCAGUAUUUGUGGAGCCGUCCUUGAAAUACCACCCUUGUAGUGUUGAUGUUCUAACGUCGACCCCUUAUCGGGGUUGCGGACAGUGCCUGGUGGGUAGUUUGACUGGGGCGGUCUCCUCCCAAAGAGUAACGGAGGAGCACGAAGGUGGGCUAAUCACGGUUGGACAUCGUGAGGUUAGUGCAAUGGCAUAAGCCCGCUUGACUGCGAGAAUGACAAUUCGAGCAGGUGCGAAAGCAGGUCAUAGUGAUCCGGUGGUUCUGAAUGGAAGGGCCAUCGCUCAACGGAUAAAAGGUACUCCGGGGAUAACAGGCUGAUACCGCCCAAGAGUUCAUAUCGACGGCGGUGUUUGGCACCUCGAUGUCGGCUCAUCACAUCCUGGGGCUGAAGUCGGUCCCAAGGGUAUGGCUGUUCGCCAUUUAAAGUGGUACGCGAGCUGGGUUUAGAACGUCGUGAGACAGUUCUAUCCCUGUGUGCCUGGGCGUUGGAAGAUUGAAGGGGGCUGCUCCUAGUACGAGAGGACCGGAGUGGACGAACCUCUGGUGUUCGGGUUGUGUCGCCAGACGCAUUGCCCGGUAGCUAAGUUCGGAAUCGAUAACCGCUGAAAGCAUCUAAGCGGGAAGCGAGCCCUGAGAUGAGUCUUCCCUGAUACUUUAAGUAUCCUAAAGGGUUGUUCGAGACUAGAACGUUGAUAGGCAGGGUGUGUAAGCGUUGUGAGGCGUUGAGCUAACCUGUACUAAUUGCCCGUGAGGCUUAACC